UACGUAGGGUGCAAGCGUUAAUCGGAAUUCUGGGCGUAAGCGUGCGCAGGCGGUUUUGUAAGACAGGUGUGAAAUCCCCGGGCUUAACCUGGGAACUGCAUUUGUGACUGCAUAGCUAGAGUACGGUAGAGGGGGAUGGAAUUCCGCGUGUAGCAGUGAAAUGCGUAGAUAUGCGGAGGAACACCGAUGGCGAAGGCAAUCCC
Molecule: ribosomal RNA, 203 nt
Filed under: uncultured bacterium
Lineage: Bacteria
Description: partial 16S ribosomal RNA
Rfam family: Bacterial small subunit ribosomal RNA
Source: RNAcentral